Long non-coding RNA from Hordeum vulgare subsp. vulgare (domesticated barley), 2339 nucleotides. RefSeq lists it as uncharacterized. The transcript has 2 exons. Lineage: Eukaryota; Viridiplantae; Streptophyta; Magnoliopsida; Poales; Poaceae. The record is from RefSeq and is a predicted model, not a curated record.
UCCUCGCUGGCGGUUUUACCAAAAAACUCUUCUAUUUCAGAGAAAUUAACCGCAGUCCUUUGUUUAGUUAAAAAACGUUUCGUUUUUAUAGAAACACCCCUCCUCGUGGUCAAGGUCUUCUUAUCCACAUCCCUCCUCGACCAGCGCCCCCAUCCCUCCACCCCGACGUCGCGCACCGCUGCCGCUGUUGCCCCCGCCGCCGCCGCGCCGGUCGGCCGAGGUGGCAGACCGCGCUUAGCGUCGCCGCCAAGAACGCAGCCCUGAUAGCCGUGCUGGCCGCGCGCCCUUUUUUGGCGGCUCCCUCCGGCCUUCGCCCUGAGCUUGACUGUUCUUGGAAUUUGCAGGCGGAGUUGACUUCUUGAUGGGGCUGUUCGAGCGGGUGAUCCACGACAGCGUCGCCGAGUUCUUGAGGUACACACGCCAGCCACUCUACCGCAAAUUAACUUAGUGCUGGAACCCCCACUGGUACGUCCUCCUGCCGCCGCGCUUCUGCCGGCGAGGAGCCUCGUGGUGCCGCUGGCUAUAGCUGCCGGUGCCCAUGCUUGUGGUGGCCGCGUAUCUCUCGCCGGACCCUCCUGGUGUAUCCUGUCUGCUUUGGGGAUAGUGGUGGUGCUGGUGCUGGUGCUGAUCCGUUGAGCACGUCCCACCUGAAAAUGGUGGCCACCUCUGGUCUUGUUGGAAGACUCUGCUGCUGUACUGCUGCUCGGCUGGGUAACCAGGAUUCGAGAAGUGGGGUGUGCUGACAUUAGCCGAGGCUAAGGGUUGCUUCUCUAGCUGUACCCAUUGUUGCUGGCUCCCUUGGUGAAUAGCAUUUGUACUAUGAUCAUCUGGCAGCCACCAUUGCUGUUUCCCUUGAAGUGUUCUCCAGUCAGAUAGCCCGGCUGAGAUACAUCUGCGGAUUGCUGAAAAAUGAUGGCGCAUUCGAGUAAGCGAUGCAAAAGGCGGCUUGCCAAUGUGUGAAAAUAUCUGGGAAAUCUUAAUGUACGAGAAGAGAGUGCUACUGAAAACGCAAGUAUUAAAAGGAAUCCUCAUCUUACCUGUGUGGGUUCAGAGAAUCCAUUACAGACCGUAUAAUUGCAUAGUGUGUAACCAUCCCGUUUCAUCUGCAUAUACAGCCCAAAACUCAGAAAUAGACCUGAAAUAUUAUUUCAGUAUACGAAGAAGAUGGUUCCUGAUAAAUAUUCAUCUUACAUUUAUGAUGAAAAUAUUUUGUUAUAAUAUUUAUAGUUUUCACAAGUGUAAUAUUAGAUUGCAUAUCUGUUGCAACGCACGGGCCUUUUACUAGUCUAAUCUAAUCUACUAAAGUUGAAAACAAUUAUCCAUCAAUGCCACGUGCGUGUCGAUAACGUCAAGGCUAUUUCCAUAUCCUCUCUCCAUAUUCUCCAGAUUAGGUCACAUGCAUGCCCACGACGGCUGUCGGCCAGCGCACGAGAUUGAUUUUUCAACCUAAAGUUAGGCUCCUAAUAUGAUCCUUUCCCCUAGAUUAGAGUGGAAAGCCAACCCUUUUUAUUAAUUCCAUCUUUUAUCGCGACGUUCUCUUGCCGAUUGAUCCAAUUAACAAUCAGUGUGCACCGCAUGCAGUCUAUCAUCAGUAGCUCUUGGCAGAUCACGGUUGAUGGCUUAGUGGACCAAGUCCAUGCAUGCAAAUUGGUCGCAAGAAAGAAGAUGUAAAGUUAUAAACUUGAUGCACUAGAGCACGUACACAUCCAAGAGGCUAGAUCUAUACUAUGGUGCGUAGCGGCGGUAAGGAAGAUAUAAACUUUAUGCACGUACGGUGGUAAACAUCUUAGAGACUAGAUCUUGAUUCUUGUGCGUAUGUAUCUUUCUUUUGAUUGUUUUUUCCAUUGCCUUGAUAUAUAGUUUUAGAGCAUAUCGUCGUCAUGUAAUAUCUAGAUACCGACAAAUGUAACCUAUUCCUUAUUCACGCCUUGAUGCACCUUUUUCUGUUCAUUUAUAUCUCUACUUUUUUCCUAGUAGGUAUAGUGUACCGUCCGCGAGAUAAUACAUAUUCGAGAGAUGGAGAUUAGGACGGUUUGAUCAAAUAUUUCUUGCAGGCUAUCAAGGUUUUCUCGAAUGUUCACGUGGACCAAUCUGUCGAUGUUAUCUGAAGUAUGUGCAUACGGCAAUACAUACUAAGUGUGUGCAUACUUGACUGUCUAUGUAGAGGAACGGAAUCAGAAACACCUGUUAUGUACACAGAUAGAAGAAGCAAUUUAGAACACCAAAACACGAGUUGUAUUAAUGUGGCUGAACAAAACCCCGUGUAUGAGUAAUGCAUUAUGUUCUAAUGGACUAUAAUAUUUCUUGGAGUGUAUACCUAAUUGGAAACUCUUUCUUGA